AGCAAACAUGGACUAUAAACUACAUCCGUAAAAUUAAAAUGAGAGAGUACUAAGGAGUCACAAAGCAUUUUUUUCAAAGAUCGCGUGAUUGUUACUUUUCGACAGCACCUCAUAGGUUUUCCAGGCAUGCUUUAUGUAAAAUUCAUUCACCCAGGAAAAAUAUGACUAACUUACUAAUAAAAAAAACAAAAACCUGUCAUAUCUACCUGCGUAAGUAAACGAACCCAUUCGGCUUCUCUCGUUGGGCGGAAUCCAUUUAGCGAGCAAUGCGUGGCUGCACGGUACGAUCGGACCCUGUCCCAAAUAAAGGACGUGUUUUCUUGUUUUUUUUUUGUUUGUUUUAAUAGAAAAACAAAGAAAAUAGUACUUACCUCGCCUAACCCUUGGAUGAAUCGCACGACCAGCAGCCACCAGAGUCCCAUUUUGGCAGCGAUCGGUACCAACAGGCCGAACACCGAGUUGAUCAGCAUCCCGAUGCCCAGGAAGUAAAUGUUCCCGUAAGUUUUCCCUAAAAUCCCGGCGGGGAUUUGGGUGAUCACGUAACCGUAGAAAAAGGCCGACAGUACGUAGGAUUGCACGUCGGUUUUCCAAAUGUAUUCUCCAUCUGCUUCUAACUGGAAAUAAAAAUUAAAUUUUCUUUA
Long non-coding RNA from Anthonomus grandis grandis, 641 nucleotides. RefSeq lists it as uncharacterized. Lineage: Eukaryota; Metazoa; Arthropoda; Insecta; Coleoptera; Curculionidae. The transcript is spliced from 3 exons. The record is from RefSeq and is a predicted model, not a curated record.